This 384-nucleotide ribosomal RNA is filed under the name uncultured bacterium. RNAcentral's name for it is "bacterial SSU rRNA". It matches the Rfam family "Bacterial small subunit ribosomal RNA", at positions 28 to 414 of the family's 1533-position model. The record is from RNAcentral.
GACGAACGCUGGCGGCGUGCUUAACACAUGCAAGUCGAGCGGUAAGGCCCUUUCGGGGGUACACGAGCGGCGAACGGGUGAGUAACACGUGGGUGACCUGCCCUUAGCUCUGGGAUAAGCCUGGGAAACUGGGUCUAAUACCGGAUAUGACUCCAUGACGCAUGUUGUGGGGUGGAAAGCCUUGUGCGGCUAGGGAUGGGCCCACGGCCUAUCAGCUUGUUGGUGGGGUGANGGCCUACCAAGGCGACGACGGGUAGCCGGCCUGAGAGGGCGACCGGCCACACUGGGACUGAGACACGGCCCAGACUCCUACGGGAGGCAGCAGUGGGGAAUCUUGCGCAAUGGGCGAAAGCCUGACGCAGCGACGCCGCGUGGGGAUGACGG